CUCAAUUUCUCUUUCAUACCUAAAUUUGAUUUAAAAUUUUUGCUAUUUAUGUCUUCAACUCCUGCCCACCACCCCAAAUACUUUUUCUUACAGUUUUAUAUUCAUGUUUUAUAAAUAGUUUUUUAUGUCUCGGAGGAUAUUAAUUAUGGGUUUUUAUUUUUUCCCAAUAUUUUAUCAACUAUCUUUUCCACUUUAUUUUUUCCAUUUUAUCAUCUAUUUUUUCCAUGUUUUGCUUUUCUCUUGUUUUUGUCUCUGUUGUCUGAGACCUCCCCUAGGUAUCUGGUGAUUCUUAGAUAGCCUAUUUUUAUAUAUUUAAGAUGCAGUGAAGUAGCAGAUUUCAGCAACAGGCUUUGUUGAUCUGUGUGCCUCACUAUAGGGUUAAUGCGUUGUAACUGAACUUUUUUUUGCAGAUACCCCAAAAAUCUAGAGUUUUUUCUUUUUUCCCUUUGACUAUUCAGUUUCUCCAGGAAUGAUUUUCUCACUGAACAGCCUCAAGCUAGAUUGGUCCCUGUUCAUGUUCAAAGUGUUUGAAACCAGCUAAAUAGUAAAGUAAUGCUCAAAAUUCUCCAAGCCAGGCUUCAGCAAUACAUGAACCAUGAACUUCCAGAUGUUCAAGCUGGGUUUAGAAAAGGCAGAGGAACCAGAGAUCAAAUUGCUAACAUCUGCUGGACAUCGAUAAAGCAAGAGAGUUCCAGAAAAACAUCUAUUUCUGCUUUAUUGACUAUGCCAAAGCCUUUGACUGUGUGGAUCACAAUAAACUGUGGAAAAUAAACUGAAAGACAUGGGAAUACCAGACCACCUGAUCUGCCUUUUGGGAAACCUAUAUGCAGAUCAGGAAGCAACAGUUGGAACUGGACAAGGAACAACAGACUGAUUCCAAAUAGGAAAAGGAGUACGUCAAGGCUGUAUAUUGUCACCCUGCUUAUUUAACUCAUAUGCAGAGUACAUCAUGAGAAACGCUGGGCUGGAAGAAGCACAAGCUGGAAUCAAGAUUGCCAGGAGAAAUAUCAAUAACCUCAGAUAUGCAGAUGACACCACCCUUAUGGCUGAAAGUGAAGAGGAGCUAGAGGGCCUCUUGAUGAAAGUGAAAAAGGAGAAUGAAAAAGUUGGCUUAAAGCUCAAUAUUCAGAAAACUAAGAUCAUGGCACCUGGUCCCAUCACUUCAUAGGAAAUAGAUGUGGAAACAGUGGAAACAAUGUCAGACUUUAUUUUUGGGGGUUCCAAAAUCAAAGCACAUAGUGACUGCAGCCAUGAAAUUAAAAGAUGCUGACUCCUUGGAAGGAAAGUUAUGACCAACCUAGAUAGCAUAUUCAGAAACAGAGACAAUACUUUGCCAACAAAGGUCCCUCUAGUCAAGGCUAUGGUUUUUCCAGUGGUCAUGUAUGGAUGUGAGAGUUGAACUGUGAAGAAGGCUGAGCGCCGAAGAAUUGAUGCUUUUGAACUGUGGUGUUGGAGAAGACUCUUGAGAGUCCCUUGGACUGCAAGGAGAUCCAACCAGUCCAUUCUGAAGGAGGUCAGCCCUAGGAUUUCUUUGGAAGGAAUGAUGCUAAAGCUGAAACUCCAGUCCUUUGGCCACCUCUUGCGAAGAGUUGACUCAUUGAAAAAGACUCUGAUGCUGGGAGGGAUUGGAGGCAGGAGGAGAAGGGGAUGACAGAGGAAGAGAUGGCUGAAUGGCAUCACUGACUCGAUGGAAAUGAGUUUGGGUGAACUCCAGGAGUUGCUCAUGGACAGGGAGGCCUGGCAUGCUGCAAUUCAUAGGGUCACAAAGAGUCAGACAUGACUGAGCAAUGAACUGAACUGAAAAUAUUUUGGGGAUGUCUGCAUUUGACUUUGUGCAAACUAUUAAUAUUACUAUCAAAUUGCAAAAACAAUGCCAAUAGUGACAUGACUCUCUUCACUGAGGGUAACAAAGAUAACCAAGCCAUUCUAACAGAUGUAAGGUGAGAUAACUCAUUGCAUUUCCCUGAUGUUAGUAAUGGCACCCCACUCCAGUACUCUUGCCUGGAGAAUCCCAUGGACGGAGGAGCCUGAUAGGCUGCAGUCCAUGGGGUCGCUAGAGUCGGACACGACUGAGCGACUUCACUUUCACUUUCAUGCAUUGGAGAAGGAAAUGGCAACCCACUCCAGUGUUCUUGCCUGGAGAAUCCCAGGGACUAUGGAGCCUGAUGGGCUGCCAUCUACGGGGUCGCACAGAGUCGGACACGACUGAAGCAACUUAGCAGCAGCAGCAGCAGCAGCAGCAGCAGUAACACUGAGCAUCUUUUUGUAUGCCUGUUAAUUGUAUGCUUUCUUUGUAGAAAUAGCUAUUCAUUUCCUGUGCCC
Bos taurus (domestic cattle) is the source of this 2322-nucleotide long non-coding RNA. The record is from Ensembl. Lineage: Eukaryota; Metazoa; Chordata; Mammalia; Artiodactyla; Bovidae.